This 422-nucleotide long non-coding RNA is filed under the name Vigna radiata. RNAcentral describes it as "long non-coding RNA (VRAD_LNC013457)". Lineage: Eukaryota; Viridiplantae; Streptophyta; Magnoliopsida; Fabales; Fabaceae. The record is from RNAcentral.
GUGAUCGACCACUCAGUUCGGUGGUCGCCCUCAUGGUUGGUCGGCCUGGUAUAACAAGUCAUAUGUUACUAUUAUAACAAGCCAUAAAUCUUCAUUGAAUUGGGUUCUCAUAUACCAAUUCUCAUAAAUCUUCAUUGAACUGACACCACCAGGUCGACUACACACCAAGUCGAGUGACCAACCACUAUGUCAUCGAAAUAUCUAAUCUUAGGUUUUAGUUUGUUAGUUACUCUAAAACGUGUUUAUUUAGGAAGCCAUCUUAUCCAUAACCUAUAAAUUCUAAAUCUUAAGUUGAUAUAUCAUGCAUGGAAAUUUAUAUUUUAUUUUAAACAUAAAAUAAAAAUCUUUUAAACUUGUUACGGUGUAAAUUUACUGGGACCGAAGUACUAACCUCGAUGACGUCUUCUUCUGUGUUUCUGCCC